RNAcentral lists this ribosomal RNA (253 nucleotides) under uncultured bacterium. RNAcentral's name for it is "partial 16S ribosomal RNA". It matches the Rfam family "Bacterial small subunit ribosomal RNA", at positions 524 to 776 of the family's 1533-position model. The record is from RNAcentral.
UACAGAGGGUGCAAGCGUUAAUCGGAAUUACUGGGCGUAAAGCGUGCGCAGGCGGUUCUCCAAGUCCGUUGUGAAAGCCCCGGGCUCAACCUGGGAAUGGCAGUGGAAACUAGGGGACUGGAAUCUGGCAGAGGGGGGUGGAAUGCCGCGUGUAGCAGUGAAAUGCGUAGAGAUGCGGCGGAACACCGAUGGCGAAGGCAGCCCCCUGGGCUGAGAUUGACGCUCAGGCACGAAAGCGUGGGGAGCAAACAGG